RNAcentral lists this ribosomal RNA (1253 nucleotides) under metagenome. Its description in RNAcentral is "bacterial LSU rRNA". It matches the Rfam family "Bacterial large subunit ribosomal RNA", at positions 1635 to 2880 of the family's 2925-position model. The record is from RNAcentral.
CAUACGACCGUACCGCAAACCGACACUGGUGCGCGAGAUGAGUAUUCUAAGGCGCUUGAGAGAACUCAGGAGAAGGAACUCGGCAAAUUGACACCGUAACUUCGGAAGAAGGUGUGCCCUAUUAGUGUGUAGUCAACAACGAAGCAUGAAUGGGUUGCAAAAAAUCGGUGGCUGCGACUGUUUAUUAAAAACACAGCACUCUGCAAACACGAAAGUGGACGUAUAGGGUGUGACGCCUGCCCGGUGCUGGAAGAUUAAAUGAUGGGGUGCAAGCUCUUGAUUGAAGUCCCAGUAAACGGCGGCCGUAACUAUAACGGUCCUAAGGUAGCGAAAUUCCUUGUCGGGUAAGUUCCGACCUGCACGAAUGGCGUAACGAUGGCCACACUGUCUCCUCCUGAGACUCAGCGAAGUUGAAAUGUUUGUGAUGAUGCAAUCUCCCCGCGGAAAGACGGAAAGACCCCAUGAACCUUUACUGUAGCUUUGUAUUGGACUUUGAACAGAUCUGUGUAGGAUAGGUGGGAGGCUUUGAAGCAGGGUCGCUAGAUCUUGUGGAGCCAACGUUGAAAUACCACCCUGGUGUGUUUGAGGUUCUAACCUAGGUCCAUUAUCUGGAUCGGGGACAGUGCAUGGUAGGCAGUUUGACUGGGGCGGUCUCCUCCCAAAGCGUAACGGAGGAGUUCGAAGGUACGCUAGUUACGGUCGGACAUCGUGACGAUAGUGCAAUGGCAUAAGCGUGCUUAACUGCGAGACUGACAAGUCGAGCAGAUGCGAAAGCAGGACAUAGUGAUCCGGUGGUUCUGUAUGGAAGGGCCAUCGCUCAACGGAUAAAAGGUACUCUGGGGAUAACAGGCUGAUACCGCCCAAGAGUUCAUAUCGACGGCGGUGUUUGGCACCUCGAUGUCGGCUCAUCUCAUCCUGGGGCUGUAGCCGGUCCCAAGGGUAUGGCUGUUCGCCAUUUAAAGAGGUACGUGAGCUGGGUUUAAAACGUCGUGAGACAGUUUGGUCCCUAUCUUCCGUGGGCGCUGCAGAUUUGAGGAAGCCUGCUCCUAGUACGAGAGGACCGGAGUGGACACACCUCUGGUGUAUCGGUUGUCACGCCAGUGGCAUUGCCGAGUAGCUAAGUGUGGAAGAGAUAACCGCUGAAAGCAUCUAAGCGGGAAACUCGUUUCAAGAUGAGAUCUGCCGGGGCCUUGAGCCCCCUAAAGAGUCGUUCAAGACCAGGACGUUGAUAGGUCAGGUGUGGAAGCCAAAGA